This 363-nucleotide ribosomal RNA is filed under the name uncultured Escherichia sp. RNAcentral's name for it is "bacterial SSU rRNA". It matches the Rfam family "Bacterial small subunit ribosomal RNA", at positions 30 to 387 of the family's 1533-position model. The record is from RNAcentral. Lineage: Bacteria; Pseudomonadati; Pseudomonadota; Gammaproteobacteria; Enterobacterales; Enterobacteriaceae.
AUUGAACGCUGGCGGCAGGCCUAACACAUGCAAGUCGAACGGUAACAGGAAGCAGCUUGCUGCUUUGCUGACGAGUGGCGGACGGGUGAGUAAUGUCUGGGAAACUGCCUGAUGGAGGGGGAUAACUACUGGAAACGGUAGCUAAUACCGCAUAACGUCGCAAGACCAAAGAGGGGGACCUUAGGGCCUCUUGCCAUCGGAUGUGCCCAGAUGGGAUUAGCUAGUAGGUGGGGUAACGGCUCACCUAGGCGACGAUCCCUAGCUGGUCUGAGAGGAUGACCAGCCACACUGGAACUGAGACACGGUCCAGACUCCUACGGGAGGCAGCAGUGGGGAAUAUUGCACAAUGGGCGCAAGCCUGAU